UGGGGAAUAUUGGACAAUGGGCGCAAGCCUGAUCCAGCCAUGCCGCGUGGAUGAAGAAGGCCCUAGGGUUGUAAAAUCCUUUCGCUAGGGAAGAUAAUGACGGUACCUAGACAAGAAGCCCCGGCUAAUUUCGUGCCAGCAGCCGCGGUAAUACGAAAGGGGCUAGCGUUGUUCGGAAUUACUGGGCGUAAAGCGCACGUAGGCGGCUUUGUAAGUUGGGGGUGAAAUCCCGGGGCUCAACCCCGGAACUGCCUUCAAAACUACAUGGCUAGAGAAUGCGAGAGGUGAGCGGAAUUCCGAGUGUAGAGGUGAAAUUCGUAGAUAUUCGGAAGAACACCAGUGGCGAAGGCGGCUCACUGGCGCAUUACUGACGCUGAGGUGCGAAAGCGUGGGGAGCAAACAGGAUUAGAUACCCCCGUAGUCC
This 424-nucleotide ribosomal RNA is filed under the name uncultured prokaryote. RNAcentral describes it as "bacterial SSU rRNA". It matches the Rfam family "Bacterial small subunit ribosomal RNA", at positions 355 to 796 of the family's 1533-position model. The record is from RNAcentral.